GACGAACGCUGGCGGCGUGCUUAACACAUGCAAGUCGAACGGAAAGGCCCUGCUUUUGUGGGGUGCUCGAGUGGCGAACGGGUGAGUAACACGUGAGUAACCUGCCCUUGACUUUGGGAUAACUUCAGGAAACUGGGGCUAAUACCGGAUAGGAGCUCCUGCUGCAUGGUGGGGGUUGGAAAGUUUCGGCGGUUGGGGAUGGACUCGCGGCUUAUCAGCUUGUUGGUGGGGUAGUGGCUUACCAAGGCUUUGACGGGUAGCCGGCCUGAGAGGGUGACCGGCCACAUUGGGACUGAGAUACGGCCCAGACUCCUACGGGAGGCAGCAGUGGGGAAUAUUGCACAAUGGGCGGAAGCCUGAUGCAGCAACGCCGCGUGCGGGAUGACGGCCUUCGGGUUGUAAACCGCCUUCGCCUGUGAUGAAGCGUGAGUGACGGUAAUGGGUAAAGAAGCACCGGCUAACUACGUG
RNAcentral lists this ribosomal RNA (468 nucleotides) under uncultured bacterium. Its description in RNAcentral is "partial 16S ribosomal RNA". It matches the Rfam family "Bacterial small subunit ribosomal RNA", at positions 28 to 507 of the family's 1533-position model. The record is from RNAcentral.